This 2052-nucleotide ribosomal RNA is filed under the name human gut metagenome. RNAcentral describes it as "bacterial LSU rRNA". It matches the Rfam family "Bacterial large subunit ribosomal RNA", at positions 1 to 1978 of the family's 2925-position model. The record is from RNAcentral.
UAAAGCUACUAAGAGCUAAUGGAGAAUGCCUUGGUACUGACAGCCGAUGAAGGACGUGUAAAGCUGCGAUAAGCUGCGGGGAACUGCUAAAAGGUCUUGAUCCGCAGAAUUCCGAAUGGGGAAACCCUCUAGGGUUAAAACCUUAGAACCCAUAACUGAAUACAUAGGUUAUGUGGAGGAAAGCCUGUGAACUGAAACAUCUUAGUAACAGGACGAAGAGAAAAUAAACUAAUGAUUCCGAAAGUAGCGGCGAGCGAAAUUGGAACAGCCUAAACCUUGUGUACGUGAUAGACUGCAAUCGUUGUGCAUUGGGUGUUGUGGGACUUACUGAAAUAUUUGCAGGUAUUUCGAAGAGUUACAAAAUUAUUUGUUAGUUGAAUUCAACUGGAAAGUUGAGCCAUAGCGGGUGAUAGCCCCGUAAACGAAAACAAAUGAUCUCUUGUAAGUAUCCCGAGUAAGGCGGGGCACGUGAAACCCUGUCUGAAUCCACCAGGACCAUCUGGUAAGGCUAAAUACUAGUCAGUGACCGAUAGUGAACGAGUACAGUGAUGGAAAGGCGAAAAGAACAGUGAGAAGCUGAGUGAAAUAGAUCCUGAAACCGUUAGCUUACAAUCAGUUAGAGCACUAUUGAUAGUGUGAUAGCGUGCCUGUUGAAGAAUGAGCCGGCGAGUUAUCUUAUGUUGCAAGGUUAAGGAGUUAAUAUCCGGAGCCACAGCGAAAGCGAGUUUGAAUAGAGCGUUAAGUAACAUGCGAUAGACCCGAACCUUGGUGAUCUAACCAUGACCAGGAUGAAGCGUAGGUAACACUACGUGGAGGUCCGAACCGACUGAUGUUGAAAAAUCAGCGGAUGAGUUGUGGUUAGGGGUGAAAUGCCAAUCGAACCAAGAGCUAGCUGGUUCUCCCCGAAAUGCGUUUAGGCACAGCGUCAGAUUUAUCUUACAGGAGGUAGAGCACUGGUUUUGUGCGGGCGACGAAAUGUUGUACCAAACAAUGUCAAACUCCGAAUGCCUGUAAUGUUACUGUCUGGCAGUGAGGCUAUGAGUGAUAAGAUCCAUGGCCAAGAGGGAAACAGCCCAGAACGCCAGUUAAGGUCCCUAAUAUAUGCUAAGUGGUUAAGGAGGUAGAGUUGCUGUGACAACCAGGAGGUUGGCUUAGAAGCAGCCAUCCCUUGAAAGAGUGCGUAAUAGCUCACUGGUCAAGCGACUCCGCGCCGAAAAUACACCGGGACUAAAGCAUAUAACCGAAACUGCGUCAUUAAGUUUACUUAAUGGGUAGGGGAGCGUUCUGUUGUAGGUUGAAGUCAGAUCGAAAGGACUGAUGGACGAAGCAGAAGUGAGAAUGUCGGCAUGAGUAGCGAAAACAUUGGUGAGAAUCCAAUGCACCGAAAACCUAAGGUUUCCCCUGGCAGGCUCGUCCGCGGGGGGUUAGUCGGAACCUAAGCUCAGGCCGAAAGGCGUAGGCGAUGGACAACAGGUUGAUAUUCCUGUACUAUCUGGUAAUCGUUAUCAGAUGCGGAGGGACGCAGGAGGAUAAGCACGCAGACGAUUGGAUGUGUCUGUUUAAGCGUGUAGCUAGUUUGAGUAGGAAAAUCCGCUCAGGCGUUAUGACGUGAGGCGUGAUGAGGAGGCUCUACGGAGCUGAAGGUGUUGAUUCCACACUGCCAAGAAAAUCUUCGCAAUCGAGAUUAUCCGGUAUCCGUACCGUAAACCGCCACAGGUAGGUUGGUAGAAUAUACUAAGGUGCGCGAGACAACUCUCGCUAAGGAACUCGGCAAAAUCACCUCGUAACUUCGGGAGAAGAGGUACCCUGGUAGCGUGUAACGGCUUGCCCGUGAAGCGUGAUAGGGUCGCAGUGAAUUGGCCCAUGCGACUGUUUACCAAAAACACAGGUCUCUGCUAAGUCGAUCAAGACGAUGUAUAGGGGCUGACGCCUGCCCGGUGUCGGAAGGUUACGUGGAAGUGUUAGACCUCGGUCGAAGCACCGAAACUAAGCCCCGAUGAACGGCGGCCGUAACUAUAACGGUCCUAAGGUAGCGAAAUUCCUUGUCAGGUA